GUGAGGGACAAAAACUCCAGAGUCUGCUUUCCAGAUCUGAACCUAUGGAGGCCUAUCAGGGUGGACUAAAGUGUCCCUGAUGAGAACAAAGAAAUACAGAUGAGCAACAAGUUGCCUGAAAUAAAAUUACCACAAAAAACUGGGUCUGGUCUCCUGACUGAGGUUCAAAAUUUAGUCCUUAAAAAUUGAUAAGGCCAUUUUGUCCCUCUCUUUGUAACUCUUGCUUAAAAUGUCCAUUUGUAUCUUAGCUACAAAGAUAUCAGAUUAAACAUCACAUUACCAAUAAAAUAUCCAAAAUUCUGAGAGCUUAAGUUCCUUCUAAGUUACUCCAGGAUCUCAAAGAGAAUUACUUUUUAGAACAAGGUCUUAGGCAUGUAUGCAAUAACUUGCCAGUUUUUACAGAAUUGGAGCCAAUUACAUCAAGUGAUGGUAGUGGGGAGAAAGCCUGAUGGAACUCUCCUGCCCCCAAAUGUUGAUUUUGAAGCAGCUUGAUAACUUUUUGAUUUUGGAUGUUGAGGAUUGAAAACCAAAUUUAUGAACUUAUGGUGUAAAAACUUACCAAGACUGCAAAUUAUGUAAGAACCGGCUUCUUCCAGAAAAAGAGAUCUACAACACCCACCCCCCGUGGAAAAAAAAGAUCUACAAUUUCUGAACUGGGAACUAAAAUAUGCUUGCAGACCCCUUGGCAUUAUUUUCAUGUAGGAACUACAUAAUCUGAGGAAACAGUCGGCUAAGAAGG
Molecule: long non-coding RNA, 739 nt
Filed under: Homo sapiens (human)
Lineage: Eukaryota; Metazoa; Chordata; Mammalia; Primates; Hominidae
Description: HSALNT0153293
Source: RNAcentral